AGUCGUACACGGUUUCCGUAGGUGAACCUGCGGAAGGAUCAUUACCGAACUGUCGACACGAGUUGCUGCUGGCCCACAAAUGGGGGCAUGUGCACGCUCUGUUUACACAUCCACUCACACCUGUGCACCCUCUGUAGUUCUAUGGCCUGGGGGACUCUGUCCUCUUGCYGUGGUCCUACGUCUUUACACACACACCGUAAUAAAGUCUCAUGGAAUGCAUGUCGCGUUUAACGCAAUACAAUACAACUUUCAGCAACGGAUCUCUUGGCUCUCGCAUCGAUGAAGAACGCAGCGAAAUGCGAUAAGUAAUGUGAAUUGCAGAAUUCAGUGAAUCAUCGAAUCUUUGAACGCACCUUGCGCCCUUUGGCUAUUCCGAAGGGCAUGCCUGUUUGAGUAUCAUGAACACCUCAACUCUCAUGGUUUGCCAUGAUGAGCUUGGACUUUGGGGGUCUUGCUGGCCUGCGGUCGGCUCCUCUCAAAUCGAUCAGCUUGCCAGUGUUUGGUGGCAUCGCAGGUGUGAUAACUAUCUACGCUUGUGGUUUUCCACCAGGUAACCUUCAGUGAUGGAGGUUCGCUGGAGCUCAUAAAUGUGUCUCUCCUCAGCGAGGACAGCUUUUUGAACGUUUGAUCUCAAAUCAGGCAGGACUACCCGCUGAACUUAACCUAUCA
Molecule: ribosomal RNA, 669 nt
Filed under: uncultured fungus
Lineage: Eukaryota; Fungi
Description: eukaryotic LSU rRNA
Rfam family: 5.8S ribosomal RNA (bases 245-399)
Source: RNAcentral